UAUAUUAAUUUACCCCAGAUGUAUUAUUUAAUGGUAAUUACUAUUAAUAUAAACUGAGCACAAUAAUUCUGUUUUUGGGGUAGAAAGUAUUUUUUAUUUAUUUGUAUUGUUGUUUUUAGAUAUGGAGCAUAUUAAGUUUUACCUCCUAAACAAAAUACAAAUAAUUACAUUUAACUGACCCACAUUUGUGCAUAAAAUCAUUUAAAAACUCAAUUUAAAGUACGAACAUCCUUUUUGUUUUGUUUUGUUUGGUAUUGUAACAUUGCACCACUGUAGGUGGUUUCACACAGACUCAGACAGUAUGUUUUAGCCACUCCGCCACCAGUAGUGUUUCCGCAUACCGUAAUUUGCAUAAACAUGAGUAAUUUAUGAAUAAUAAAUGCCCCAGCAUUCAGCUGGAGCUGAUAAUUUGCAUAUCACUGCAGCCUUAGUGCCGUGUUAUCAUGAAGCCCUUCAAGCCUGCAUAAACUAAAAUCAAAGAAAUAGUGCUUUAACAGGAGCUCGUCUCAGAACCUCCGUCCAAAACUUUGACCACACAGAAACCAGGAUGGGACUCUGAUGGAAGGGGGCCAGAGAGAGCAAAGUCCCUUGAUGUUCAAAAUAAAUCUGACAGGCCCUACUGGGUAAGGCCCCGCAUAAUCUCUCUCACUGACUUCAUGCUGGCGGAUAUUUGUGUGUGCAGUUUGUCUUUUUUUUUUUUUUCACGCCAUUUUCAUUAUUUGCACCACCUUCUUUCAUCUCAGCACUUCUUCUUUUUUUUUUUUUCCCCACGCAGCAGCAUCAGAUAAUUCCAUAAUUUACAGCUAUGCAUUGUUGAAGAUGAAUGAGAGUUGCUUUCUUGCUCAGGAUGCAUUUACCUCCGCGAUAUAAUAAUCUUUUUGUAGGAAUAAUAAUAAAAGAAAUGCCUUCAAAAGAAAUUUAGCAUUUUUAUCAUAUUCUCACUCUAAUGUGCUAAAAGUGAGUGUUAUUUUCAAUCUUUCAUUUAAAAAAAAAAAGUCGGUGAGAGUGCUGCUUUCGUCUAGUUUUCUCCUUUUCAUAUGCUUAAGUGAAAUAUUGCAGCAUUUAGGAAAAGUUUGUGUGUGUUUUGAAUUGAAUUCGCCUCAGGAGGGAAAAACGCAUCAUUUUGGAAGGACUUUUUUUUUUUUUUUUUCAAAACAUCCGCUCUUAAGCAUAUACAGAAAUAACAGGAAUUUCAAGUGUCAGUCACAAACAACUAUUUUAUCUCAUGAGUUCACAUUUUUUUUCUCCCUACAGAGUCGAGCAGAGGAGGCUUCAACUUGAGUUGAGAGUCGCAAGGGAGCCAGUGUCCGGGGGGUCAGUCUUCCCCCCGGGACCCCUGUAAAGAACCCUCUGAUGGGCUGCAGUCAGAGGUCAAAGGUCAUUUGAAGCAACAUGGUAUGAAUAUGUGACCUUGUGACACAGAAAAUGGAUCAAAAGACAAAUGGACUUCCUGAAUGAGAUCAUGAUUGGAUUCCAAAUAUGGGAGAAGUGACCUCAUUUUUAGACAUUUGCUCCAAUGGGAGGCCUUGUUUAUUCAGUCAAAUAUGUUUCUAUAUUUUUUCUUUCUCCUUAUGCAUUCAAAAUCACUAAAGAAAA
Molecule: long non-coding RNA, 1596 nt
Organism: Oryzias melastigma (Indian medaka)
Lineage: Eukaryota; Metazoa; Chordata; Actinopteri; Beloniformes; Adrianichthyidae
Exons: 2
Source: RefSeq, a predicted model, not a curated record